Molecule: ribosomal RNA, 448 nt
Filed under: uncultured bacterium
Lineage: Bacteria
Description: bacterial SSU rRNA
Rfam family: Bacterial small subunit ribosomal RNA
Source: RNAcentral
AUUGAACGCUGGCGGCAUGCUUUACACAUGCAAGUCGAACGGUAACAGGCCUUCGGGUGCUGACGAGUGGCGAACGGGUGAGUAAUGCAUCGGAACGUGCCCAAUCGUGGGGGAUAACGUAGCGAAAGUUACGCUAAUACCGCAUAAGCCCUGAGGGGGAAAGUGGGGGACCGCAAGGCCUCACGCGAAUGGAGCGGCCGAUGUCAGAUUAGCUAGUUGGUAGGGUAAAGGCCUACCAAGGCGACGAUCUGUAGCUGGUCUGAGAGGAUGGCCAGCCACACUGGAACUGAGACACGGUCCAGACUCCUACGGGAGGCAGCAGUGGGGAAUAUUGCGCAAUGGGCGAAAGCCUGACGCAGCCACGCCGCGUGAGUGAUGAAGGCCUCGGUUGUAAGACUCUGUCGGGAGGGAAGGAAGGGGACGAACCCGUACGACGGUACCGUCGCAA